RNAcentral lists this ribosomal RNA (1482 nucleotides) under Niphargus koukourasi. RNAcentral's name for it is "partial large subunit ribosomal RNA". It matches the Rfam family "Eukaryotic large subunit ribosomal RNA", at positions 1324 to 2198 of the family's 3401-position model. The record is from RNAcentral. Lineage: Eukaryota; Metazoa; Arthropoda; Malacostraca; Amphipoda; Niphargidae.
AAGGCUUCAGUACGACCCAGUCAGAACCAUAAGUCUCAAAGCCCCGACGAGUAGGGUGGCGUGCCGGUGCGCGUUGAAGGCCAAGACGUGAGUCAGGCUGGAGCCGCCGGUAGUGCAGAUCUUGGUGGUAGUAGCAAGUACUCUGGUGAACCAACCUGGAGCUGUGAGGUCUGGAUCAGGGUUCCAUGUCAACAGUGAUUGAACAUGGGUGAGUCGAUCCUAAGCCAACUGUGAAAGCAGUGACAUCCCGACAAAGGGGCUUUUUCGUGCGCUGCACCUCUUGCACCCCCAGGGCCGUGAGUGCUCAAGUAUCUCUCUCUCUCAAACACACAAAAAAGGUGCUUGGUUUGGGGCGCGUGCUCGCACACACGGAGAUCGCAUUUAAAAUGCGUGAGUGUGAUGCGAGUCGCGCUUGUCUGGGGCUCGCGGGCGCGUACACACGGCGAUCGCAUUUAAAAUUCGUGCGUGAGUGUGUGCGCGUUGCGCUUGACUGGGGUUGAUGCUCGCGGGCGCGUACGCACGGCGAUCGCAUUUAAAAUUCGUGCGUGAGGGUGUGCGCGUUGCGCUUGAUUCUGGUUACGCUCAUUAGCGUUGAGGCUAUCUCUGUUCUGGUACACACGGAGAGAGAGAGAGAAAUAAAAAAUGGGUGAGCGCGAGAGGCUGCUCUUGCAUGAGCUUCCUGCGUCUGGUUCCAUGUCUGGCGAAAGGGAAUGGGGACUUUGUUCCUUGACCGGUCCCGGCACCCUCGAUUGGCUUUGCCAGUUAAUGGUCCAUGCAAAUGGAACCAGGCCACAGCCGCCGGCAGUCGCCCGAGGAAGAGUUUUCUUUUCUGCUUAACGCACGAGGUCAUCCCUGGAAACAGUUCGGCUGGCGAAAGGGUGCCCCGUUGCGGCAGAGCGCCACGACUGUCGUGCGCGUCUCGGUGUUCCUGCCGGUCCGUGAAAACGUGGUCGAGGGGAUUGCUGUAUUGUAUCAACGAAACGCCCGACAAGUUCGGGACGGACCGUACCCUAUAUCCGCAUCUGGUCUCCAAGGUUCGUAGCCUCUGCAGAGUCAGACACAUGUAGGUAAGGGAAGUCGGCAAACUCGAUCCGUAACUUCGGGAAAAGGAUUGGCUCUGAGGGCCGAGCUGGGCCGGGCCUUGCCUGCAAAGCAGUACCUAUAGUGACCGGAGUUUCAGGAGUGCGAGGGGCUCUAGUAGCUGCUCGUGCGUGUGUGCGUUCGCGCGUGCGCGCGUGUGGGCACGAACGAGUUCACCGCUCCGCUCCAACCACGAACGGCUGUGACGGCAAGGGCUCUGGGCGGGAGCGAUCAAACCGUUGGCCUCCAGCUCGUCUGGCUGGCGGCGGUGCUCCGUCUGACCCAUACGGCUCCAGCGGCUAGCGGCUAACUCAGAACUGUCAUGGACCAAGGGAAUCCGACUGUCUAAUUAAAACAAAGCGUCGUGACGGCCCCUGUUGGGUGUUGACGCGACGUGAUUUC